Molecule: long non-coding RNA, 390 nt
Filed under: Vigna radiata
Lineage: Eukaryota; Viridiplantae; Streptophyta; Magnoliopsida; Fabales; Fabaceae
Description: long non-coding RNA (VRAD_LNC017280)
Source: RNAcentral
UGAUGUUUAAUGGCAUUGUUCUGAGUAAGAUCACUCCAAGGGCUCUUGCUUAAAAGAACACACUUUGUGUGAAGUUUCAAAUUGCUCAAAGAAUGCCAAGUUGCCAAAUAAUAAAGAAAAGGAAGGGACUGGUAGUGGGGAUAAACAUCACUCAUUAAGAGAAUUGGAGAAGAUCAAAUCACAUGAUUUGCUUCUUCUUUUUUCCAUUUAUUAUUAUGUGUAAGAACCAGAGUCGUGUUUUAGUAUGAUGAUCUUUUGGUGUUAAUGUUGUACUAUUUUGUACCAUGUCAGAUCUGAGUUAUGUUGUCUCUUUUUUAUGAUGUGUGUUUUGUUCAUAAUAGCAUCCAUUGUCAUGACAGAUCUUUCAGUCAAGAAAUUUGUGCUUGUACU